UUAUGUGAAUGUCCAGAGUCUGUAGAGCAUGUUAUAAUUCAUUGUCCUAAAUAUCAGGAAGAAAGACAAAGAUUAAGAUCACAAUUAAAAAGAAAACAGUUAAGAUUAAACUUAGAAGAAAUCCUACAAAGAAGCUCAGGUGAAAUAUGUUUUAAAUAUGUAUUUAGUUUCCUAAGGAAUACAGGACUAAUUAAAAGAAUUUAGGUGUUUUUUUUAUUGUUUACUUAAAAAAAAAAAUAUUUUUAGAAAGGUUAGAAUCCAGUAGCACACCCCAGUCCAGCAGGUGGCGGUAAUGCACUAUUAAAGUUAGUUGCCAACCGCCAAAAAAUUGAAAGAAGAACAAGAAGAGUGUCUAAUCGCCGUUUAGUUUUGGGGACGUUUUUCGAGAGGCAGUUUAAAGAGCUCGCUGCUCUAAAACCUUCACUAUUUGGAGAAAAAUCCUGGAAUGUUUUCCUCUAAAAACCUUAAUUUCUUUGCGACUGAAAACAGAAAGGCAUAAACAUCUUGGAUGAGAUGGGGAGUCAGCGAUAGGUGGGCUUGACGUACUCGGGUGGGAAAAAGCCCACACGGCCGCGACAACAACCUUUCCAGCGCUGAGAAUCAGAGCAGUCCAGCAGUUCUAUGACAUCACCCCGCAGGAAGUGCAGCUGGGAGUCGUGCUCUGGACUGAAGUCAAACAGGGCUUGUGCUUCAUGGGGCCUCUGAAGGGAAACAAUAACAGACAAAGACCACAAUUUCUCAAGGAAUGCAUGCAGAGCUGUGUCCCACAUUAGCCCUGGACCUGAAGACCAGCUGCCAAUUCCACUCUUCAUAGUGUGUUGUGCAGUCAUUCAAUCUCACAAUAUCCCAAGCCUGUUUUUCCACACCUGAGGCCAGCCCUCAGCUGAUUAUCCCAGCAAACUCGUUCCCAGACAGGCUUGCGCUCUGCCAUCCAAACCCAACCCAACCAUCAAGAAUCGGACGGUAAUGAGCCGGACAGAAUAAUAAUGUGCUCCCAGCAACAGCGCACUUGAUGAAUUUUAAAUGAAAUCUCUGCUCUGACAUAAUAGCUUUCUGAUGGCCUCAUUUUUCAGACAACUUCUUCGUACAUUUUCUUAAGCAGCAGGGGAUAUUGGCAUCCUUGCAAAGUACGUCAGCUGGAUUUCGAUGGACCCUGUACAAUUUUUCCUCAUUAUUCAAUUUCUAGUUAUGCUUUUAUGAGGCAAUGCAGCAAACGACAAAUGACAGUGACCCCAACAACCGUGCAGUUGGUAGACUAGGCUAGGAAUUCUGGGAUGUG
Long non-coding RNA from Carassius auratus (goldfish), 1279 nucleotides. RefSeq lists it as uncharacterized. The record is from RefSeq and is a predicted model, not a curated record. The transcript has 4 exons. NCBI's taxonomy places the organism in Eukaryota, Metazoa, Chordata, Actinopteri, Cypriniformes, Cyprinidae.